GACAGUAACAGCAGUAAACAGCUUCUAAGUUUGUCUGUUUUUAUUGCUAUCAUCGACCAGCUUUUACAGUAUGUAAACCACAGACCGCAGCUCUGAUGAUUCUGUUGUUUAAGCUAAUCACCCGCACAACAACUCCCAAGAAACCAUGGUGCAGACAUUUUUUUGACAUCAACCUCUCUACAGGCCACCAACAAAAAGAGGAACUGAAUAUCCAAUACUCUGCCUCUCGCCUGUUGGCUGAUGUGAUAGGCGCCUCACAACGCUAAACAAGCUCACCCACCACCCCAGCAUCUCCCUGUGGGCUCUGAGUAUUCAAGCAACAUCUAAACUCCACUGCCUAUGUGAAGGAUCCAAAGCAUACCAACAAACUAUGUACAAGACCAUCAAGCCAUCAAUAGUAGCUUGGAUAACUGGGACAAGGCAUGACUGAUCCAAGUUUUCGUGUUUUCUUAUAAAUCAACAUGUUGCAGCUGAAAUCAAAACCAGGGAAUGUUUGUUUUCUGUUAUUUCGUUCAAUUUUGGUGAACCUGUGCAAAAUGGAGGCUCCAUUUGUUAUUCAUAGCUGACAGGCGUGGCAUCUGAUUUGGUCUUCUGCAGCCUAUCUACUGUAUUAUUUGAUAUACACUGCUUGGUUGUGAUGAGUGAUUAUAUGAGCAAUAGUUGUCAUUCUAUAACUAGCAACUGGU
This is a long non-coding RNA of Xiphophorus couchianus (Monterrey platyfish), 686 nucleotides long. RefSeq lists it as uncharacterized. The record is from RefSeq and is a predicted model, not a curated record. The transcript has 5 exons. NCBI's taxonomy places the organism in Eukaryota, Metazoa, Chordata, Actinopteri, Cyprinodontiformes, Poeciliidae.